Long non-coding RNA from Anguilla rostrata (American eel), 3256 nucleotides. RefSeq lists it as uncharacterized. The record is from RefSeq and is a predicted model, not a curated record. NCBI's taxonomy places the organism in Eukaryota, Metazoa, Chordata, Actinopteri, Anguilliformes, Anguillidae. The transcript has 3 exons.
AUUGCCCCAAAUGAAAUAACCAAAAAAAAGAAAGAAAAGCUCGAAUUUAGUGAAAUGCAAACACCGUUACACUGGCGUGAACCCAGACAUCACCUGCUGGGGUACAUCACACGAUUUCGUCUUUUAGUGUUACCCAUUUAGGCAAGAAUUUAACACCUGCCACAUACCGCUGCAGUUAGACCUCGCUGGACGGACGGAAGUGUGCUUGAUGUGUUUCACAGCUAUAGGACAAGCCCAUUUUGAGCUGCACACUUUUACGCUGAGAGCACAGAAACCUGCCGAUCUUCGGAGAGCUGAACUUUUAUACUGCCCUGCAGGGAAGCAUCAUUCACCGGUAGUGGAAUCUACUGCAGGACCAGACAAGACUGAAGGCAAUCCCCAGGAUCACAGGAACUGAAGAUGGCUGCAGUACAGGCCUGGCAGAGCAUCACCAGGGAAGAUUCCCAGCAUCUAGAGAUGUCGAAUGCAAAGGAUUUGCAACCAAAUAGUCUGGUCCCAAUUACACCAUUCUGAAAAAGAAAAAGGGGGCCGCGUGUCUGUCUGUGCUGCUGAUUCUCCGGGCACGAGCCAGUCCCGAUGCGGCGUCCUUACUACAGACCCGUCAGUUCCACUUCAGUUGCGAAAUGGGCCAGGACCGGUAGCCUAUAAUGGAGUAUCAUGUUCGGAGCAAUUAGUGAAGCCUGCUCUCGCCCAACUUAUUCGUGUUUGUUUAUGAAACAACUGUAAGCGAAGUAAUGCGUUUGGAUACGCACACAGAUGUACCAGUGCUGCUUCGAUCAAAAUGGUGUAUUAAAUAUUAAGCAGUUCCGGUGUGCGGUGUUGAAGAGACAGAUGGCCGUUGUGCUGAGAUGGCGUGAAUGAUCGGUCUGGUCCUGUGAAUCGCCGCUUUCCCCGUCGCAGGAGGGGAAGCGCUGGCACGCGGGAAGAUUCAUUAAUGAGACGCGGCAGUCUCCGUUUUUCUUAAAAAAAAUAUAUAUAAAUCAUUCUGCACGUUGCUCCCUGUCUCCAGAUAAUAAUCAGAACAUUUUGUUAUCUUACUUAAGCCAGGAAUGAUUAGCAAUUCUCCUCUAAGAUUGUUUUGAUAGUUUCGAUGUUUAUUGUGAUCAGAGCCUGCACCACGCGCAUUAAAGCCCAGACUAGUGCAGUAUGAGGGGACUUUUCACUAGGUUUAAGCGCACGCUUACGUUCGUUGUUUCUCUAACGCGCAGACCCUGCUUUUCUGCUUCUCGUUUAUCAGCGUUGCGGAAGCAACCCUUCCUUUCAUCAUUUUUAAAGAGGGAAGGAAGUGACUUGUCGAAGCUCAAACGGAAAGUUUUCAUAUCCUCCUGCUUUUCGAUUUACACGAUCCCCGCAGGCCCUUCUUUCCCCAAUAGUUUCCUUCCAUAAACAGUAUGGCCAGCCUUGGACUCUUUUGGGUGGAGGGCGCCCCCUGGAGGCUAUUUUGUUUUUACGGGCAGAGGCUCAAACAUGAAAGAAUCUCCAUCUUGGGAAGCGCUUCUUAAAGUGGCAGUUUCACUUCGGUGUCUGUCGUGUUUUGGGCUGGGCACUAGAUGGCAAUGGAGUUCACAAAAGCAUCCUGCUCAUUACAUUUUAGCUUUUAUCUAAUCUAGAUUGGCGUUCACAGAUCUUAUUGUGCCCAUACGUUUAUACAGCUGGGUAUUUUCUGAAGUAAUGCAGCUCAAGUACCUUGCUGACGGGCACAAUCGCAGUGUCCCAGCUUGGAAUUAAACCCGCAAUCCCAGGUCACUGACCAUUACUGUACCACUGCCUUUUUUUGCACUAAUGCUUAUCACAUGCUUUAGGGCUUAUUUCUCCAUCCCCUGCUGAAGUGGUGAAAGAUUUCCCCCCCAUCCACUGGGUGGCGUGUAGUUUUGUUUAAAUACGUACAUUUCCUGAUGAUUGCGGCUAUAUGCGGUCCAUAUCCUGUCGCACAGGGUUUUACGCUGAAAUCUUUGAUCAAAGGCGGUUUCCUGCUCCGCACAUGGAGCUCAGAUAUAAAAGUACACUUGCAUGUGCACACGCCAGUGAAGCCACAGACAUCAGCAUCUCAACACAAACUCUGCUGACCUCACCAAUGACACCAGUUAAUGGGGGAAGUCUUUGACCUUAUGUACUUGCCUUGUUUUUGGAGACUCAGAGGUCAAAGGUCAGUGGUUUUCUGAGAAUUCUCAAUUCUGAGUGACAGCAUCCAACUGUGGUUGCUGUGGAAAUGGCAAAUUCUCCCCAAACAGCGCGUCCCAGGAAUCCUAAGCAAGAUAAAAAUAUCCGCAGGAAGAACAGGAAAAUCAUUCCUGGUAGAAAUGCGUGUGCGUUUAAGUUUGCCUGUCCAGGAGUUAAACUGAAUCAAACCCUUAUAAUAUGAAUGUUCAUCAUGAACAUGCUGUCAGUUCCCUUAUAAUAUGAAUGUUCAUCAUGAACAUGCCGCCAGUUCCCUUAUAAUAUGAAUGUUCAUCAUGAACAUGCUGUCAGUUCCCUUAUUUGCUCACAGUUUUUCUGCACAGUCUUGUUGACCAGAAGGAGGUGUUUAGAUUCCCUCUCCAGAGCCAAAGUGUGCAGCUGUAAAGUGUUAAAUCUGCAUUGGGUUCAAGCUUGUUUCAGUUCAGCAUUUGUGAGGUAAUCCUGCUCUGUGGUUGAGCUCCACUGAUAAACUAACAGAGAGAGAGAGAGGCCAGUCACAGUGCUGGGUUUGCCUCCUCACUGUGGGUGAUCCCUAACCCUAACACUGUGGGUGAUCCCUAACCCUAACACUGUGGGUGAUCCCUAACCCUAACACUGUGGGUGAUCUGAUACAUUCUGUUUAAUAACAGAAGGAGAGGGGGUAAUAAUGGGGAAGGGGGAAAGAGGAGGAGUGAGAAACUUCUCAGUGUAUAGCGAAAAAGCAAACCAUUCCUCUCAGGGCAGGGUGACUGAGUUAAAGGGAUUUAUUACUGUGGAGACAAAUUAGCAUGGCUUAGUUUGAACAUGGUUAUCUUGGCCAUGUAAUGCUAGUGAUGCUACAUCAUACAUGCUCACUAUGCUAGUGAUGCUGCAUAAACCUACCUCGCUAUGCUGGUGAUGCUAUAUAAACCUAGCUCGCUAUGCUAGUGAUGCUAUAUAAAACAUGCUUGCUAUGCUAGUGAUGCUAUAUAAAACAUGCUCGCUAUGCUAGUGAUGCUAUAUAAACUUAGCUCGCUAUGCUAGUGAUGCUAUGUAAACCUAGCUCGCUAUGCUAGUGAUGCUACAUAAACCUAGCUCACUAUGCUAGUGAUGCUAUAUA